AUGAACGGCCAUGGCCGCCCGGAAAUACCUGAUCCCUUUCCGAACUCAGCAGUCAAGCGGGCGCACGUUCCAGGCAGUACUGCAUUUUCAUGCGGGAACCCAGGUUCGCUGUUCAUC
Molecule: ribosomal RNA, 117 nt
Filed under: Candidatus Woesearchaeota archaeon
Lineage: Archaea; Nanobdellati; Candidatus Woesearchaeota
Source: RNAcentral